UACAUACACAAUAAGCCCUAACCCCACAAGCACCUUAUAACAUCAUCAACUACAACUGCUUUAGAGAAAUAAACACAAGUAAAGGUUAAAGAUAAGUAUUUUAAGCACAAGUAAAGGUUAAAGAUAAGUAUUUUAAGCAUAAUUUCUCUGUCUUAGAUAUAAUUCUUCCAAGGACUCUGUUUUCUCUUUUAAAAACUUGUCAAGAAAACAUCUUUGAGUCUGCUUUCAUGAGUAUUUUGAUUACAUCUCCAACAAGUGAGAAAAAAUAAAAUUAAUAAGGGACAAGAAAAGGAACCACUCCAGAAAGUCUUGGAAACCUAAAAAGGAAAGCUGAAACUUGAAAGCUAU
Molecule: long non-coding RNA, 348 nt
Filed under: Populus tremula
Lineage: Eukaryota; Viridiplantae; Streptophyta; Magnoliopsida; Malpighiales; Salicaceae
Description: long non-coding RNA (PTRE_LNC002562)
Source: RNAcentral